UUGGAGGGCAAGUCUGGUGCCAGCAGCCGCGGUAAUUCCAGCUCCAAUAGCGUAUAUUAAAGUUGUUGCAGUUAAAAAGCUCGUAGUUGAAUUUCGGGAUCAAUAUAUCGGUCGUGCCUUUGGUACGUACUGGUAUCAUUGACUUCUCCUUUCUGACGAAUCAUGAUGUCAUUAAUUUGGUGUUAUGAGGAGUUAGGACUGUUACUUUGAAAAAAUUAGAGUGUUUAAAGCAGGCAUUAGCUUGAAUACAUUAGCAUGGAAUAAUGAAAUAGGACGUUUGACCCUAUUUUGUUGGUUUUUAGGAUCGACGUAAUGAUUAAUAGGGAUAGUUGGGGGCAUUAGUAUUCAAUUGUCAGAGGUGAAAUUCUUGGAUUUAUUGAAGACUAACUACUGCGAAAGCAUUUGCCAAGGAUGUUUUCAUUAAUCAAGAACGAAAGUUAGGGGAUCGAAGACGAUCAGAUACCGUCGUAGUCUUAACCAUAAACUAUGCCGACUAGGGAUCGGAUGAUGUUAAUUUUAUAAUGACUCAUUCGGCGCCUUACGGGAAAC
Molecule: ribosomal RNA, 549 nt
Filed under: uncultured Glomeromycotina
Lineage: Eukaryota; Fungi; Glomeromycota
Description: SSU rRNA
Rfam family: Eukaryotic small subunit ribosomal RNA
Source: RNAcentral